This 465-nucleotide ribosomal RNA is filed under the name uncultured bacterium. Its description in RNAcentral is "partial 16S ribosomal RNA". It matches the Rfam family "Bacterial small subunit ribosomal RNA", at positions 338 to 795 of the family's 1533-position model. The record is from RNAcentral.
CCUACGGGGGGCAGCAGUGGGGAAUAUUGCGCAAUGGGCGAAAGCCUGACGCAGCGACGCCGCGUGAGGGAUGAAGGUCUUCGGAUCGUAAACCUCUGUCAGCAGGGAAGAACGGUCACUGUGCUAAUCAGCAGUGAAUUGACGGUACCUGCAAAGGAAGCACCGGCUAACUCCGUGCCAGCAGCCGCGGUAAUACGGAGGGUGCGAGCGUUAAUCGGAAUUACUGGGCGUAAAGCGCUCGUAGGCGGUAUGUCAAGUCAAGGGUGAAAUCCCUGGGCUCAACGUGGGAACUGCCGUUGAAACUGGAAGACUGGAGUGUGUGAGAGGAUAGUGGAAUUCCAGGUGUAGGAGUGAAAUCCGUAGAUAUCUGGAGGAACAUCAGUGGCGAAGGCGACUAUCUGGCACAUAACUGACGCUGAGGAGCGAAAGCGUGGGUAGCAAACAGGAUUAGAUACCCCAGUAGUC